GCUGGGUGUAGUGGCACACACCUGUAAUCCCAGCAGCUCUGGAGGCUGAGGCAAGAGGAUCUCAAGUUCAAAUCUAGCCUCAG
Molecule: small RNA, 83 nt
Filed under: Marmota monax (woodchuck)
Lineage: Eukaryota; Metazoa; Chordata; Mammalia; Rodentia; Sciuridae
Source: RNAcentral